GAUGAAGAACGUAGCGAAAUGCGAUAAGUAAUGUGAAUUGCAGAAUUCAGUGAAUCAUCGAAUCUUUGAACGCACAUUGCGCCCCUUGGUAUUCCGAGGGGCAUGCCUGUUCGAGCGUCAUUAUAACCCCUCAAGCUCAGCUUGGUGUUGGGGCCUGCUGCACUGGCAGCCCUUAAAAUCAGUGGCGGCGCCAUCUGGCUCUAAGCGUAGUAAUUCUUCUCGCUAUGGAGUCCUGGUGGAUGCUUGCCAUCAACCCCCAAUUUUUCUAUGGUUGACCUCGGAUCAGGUAGGGAUACCCGCUGAACUUAAGCAUAUCAAUGAGCGGAGGA
This 329-nucleotide unclassified non-coding RNA is filed under the name soil metagenome. RNAcentral's name for it is "partial contains 5.8S ribosomal RNA, internal transcribed spacer 2, and large subunit ribosomal RNA". The stretch from base 1 to 120 matches the Rfam family "5.8S ribosomal RNA", at positions 35 to 154 of the family's 154-position model. The record is from RNAcentral.